Molecule: long non-coding RNA, 807 nt
Filed under: Androctonus crassicauda
Lineage: Eukaryota; Metazoa; Arthropoda; Arachnida; Scorpiones; Buthidae
Source: RNAcentral
UACUGAUUUGAUGAAUAAUAGUUUUCUAUAAAAUUAAUGAAUGUUGCAUGUCUGGUAAAUAAUUUUUGUUCUUUUAAUGUAAAAUUCUCUUUCCAUCUUAAAUGAUCAGUCCCAGUUUAUUCUAAAUUUUUUUCACAUGAUUUUUCUUUAUUCAAAAUUUUUUCAGUUUAAUUAGAAGUUUUUUUAGUUUCUAAUUAAACUAAAAAAUAGAUUUUUUUAAGCAUUCUACUUAAACCAAUCAUAAAAUAUUUUUAAAAAAAUAUGUCCAUAAGUAAAGUCAACUCCUUAAAUAAAAUCAGGGUCUUCCCAAAUUCGACAUGAUGUAUUUGGUGAUGGUUAAUCACAGUGGCUCUCCUCCAGAAAACGACUGGACCCAGAAGUGGCAAGUAUCUACAAUUAUGUGUACCAAUAUAGAUUCAAAUCACAAUAUUAACAAUUUUUGCAUUUAUAUAUAAUAAUGGCAAAUAAUAUAUACAGUAAUGUUGAUAAGUUUUAUUAUUAAAAAUAUUAUGAUCAAGUUGAGAUGUCUUCCAAGAAUUGUAAUUUUUAUCGAUUGAUUUGCAAAGAUGUUUUCUAUGCAUUUCAAUUUUCAUAAAUUAUGUAGAUUUUCUGUGCAGUUUAGAAGAAGAAAGAAUAUACACCAAGUUUUGUUUUUAAACUAUGAAAAAUUUUUCUCAGAAAAUAUUAUUUAUACUUCAUUCUCUAUGUUAGUUUAUAUCAAAAAUCAUAUGACUGUUUUCAUCCAUUCUUUUACUCUUCUAAUUUUGUAUAAGCAUUGUUUAUGUAAUACUAAAUUGGAAAUUAUGC